RNAcentral lists this unclassified non-coding RNA (503 nucleotides) under Hevea brasiliensis (rubber tree). Lineage: Eukaryota; Viridiplantae; Streptophyta; Magnoliopsida; Malpighiales; Euphorbiaceae. The record is from RNAcentral.
GCCUGAGUGCCUAUGCUAUAUUUAUCAUCAUAUGGCAUUUGAACUUUACGGUAUGCUGGCUGGAAGUGUUAGUCCCAUGACAGGCGAAACUAUAAAACCUGCUUACGGUGGUUCAGAUGAGGCUUUCUUGAGGAAAGUAGUGACUCCCAUCUAUAACACUAUAGCAAAGGAAGCUAAAAGGAGCAAAGAAAAGUCAAAACAUUCUCAGUGGAGAAACUAUGAUGAUUUGAAUGAGUAUUUCUGGUCAGUUAAUUGCUUCAGGCUGGGCUGGCCAAUGCGCGCUGAUGCUGAUUUCUUCCAUCUUCCCCCUGAAGAACAACGGGCUGAUGCAAAUGAAGCAAUUAAAAGGAACCAUUGGAUGGGGAAAAUCAAUUUUGUCGAGACCCGGUCGUUUUGGCACAUCUUUAGGAGUUUUGAUAGGAUGUGGGGCUUUUUUAUUUUAUGCUUACAGGCAAUGAUCAUUAUUGCAUGGAAUGGAUCUGGCAAUCUAGGUUCUAUUUUUG